This 253-nucleotide ribosomal RNA is filed under the name uncultured bacterium. RNAcentral's name for it is "partial 16S ribosomal RNA". It matches the Rfam family "Bacterial small subunit ribosomal RNA", at positions 524 to 776 of the family's 1533-position model. The record is from RNAcentral.
GACAGAGGGUGCAAACGUUGCUCGGAAUCACUGGGCGUAAAGGGCGUGUAGGCGGGAAGGAUAGUCAGAUGUGAAAGCCCUGGGCUCAACCCAGGAACUGCAUUUGAAACUCCCUUUCUUGAGUGUCGGAGAGGAAAGCGGAAUUCCUGGUGUAGAGGUGAAAUGCGUAGAUAUCUGGAGGAACACCGGUGGCGAAGGCGGCAUCCUGGACCGGUAUUGACGCUGAGGCGCGAAAGCCAGGGGAGCAAACGGG